CUGCAUUUAAUGAAAAUGUAUCUACCUUUAUUUUUUGUGUGAUGUGAUAACAGAUGGAGAAAAUUUCCUUGGGAUGGAAGUAGGCAAGGAAAUGGAAUUGUAUGCAGAAGGCAGUAAAGGAGUAAUGAAGAGCAUCGUCCACCCAGCGUUCAACUCCUACAAGAUGGACAUCGAGGAACGCCGUGAUGUCUCCAGUGCAGCGCAGCAGGAGGCUGUUUGAGAUCCUGCUGUCCCACAGGAGAUUUGGAGCUUUAAAGAGGAAGGAAAUAAAUUAUCC
Molecule: long non-coding RNA, 277 nt
Filed under: Neogale vison (American mink)
Lineage: Eukaryota; Metazoa; Chordata; Mammalia; Carnivora; Mustelidae
Description: Neovison vison (American mink) lncRNA (ENSNVIG00000019940.1)
Source: RNAcentral